CGAGGGUAACAUUGUGCUUGCACAGAUGACGACCGGCGCACGGGUGCGUAACGCGUAUAGAACCUACCUUUUACAGAGGGAUAGCCUUUAGAAAUGAAGAUUAAUACCUUAUAGUAUUGAGACUUGGCAUCAAGUUUUAAUUAAAGAUUUAUCGGUAAAAGAUGGCUAUGCGUCCUAUUAGUUAGUUGGUAAGGUAACGGCUUACCAAGACAGCGAUAGGUAGGGGCCCUGAGAGGGGGAUCCCCCACACUGGUACUGAGACACGGACCAGACUCCUACGGGAGGCAGCAGUGAGGAAUAUUGGGCAAUGGAGGCAACUCUGACCCAGCCAUGCCGCGUGCAGGAAGACGGCCCUAUGGGUUGUAAACUGCUUUUAUACAGGAAGAAACACUCGUACGUGUACGAGCUUGACGGUACUGUAAGAAUAAGGACCGGCUAACUCCGUGCCAGCAGCCGCGGUAAUACGGAGGGUCCGAGCGUUAUCCGGAAUCAUUGGGUUUAAAGGGUCCGCAGGCGGUCAAUUAAGUCAGAGGUGAAAUACCAUAGCUCAACUAUGGAACUGCCUUUGAUACUGGUUGACUUGAGUCAUAUGGAAGUAGAUAGAAUGUGUAGUGUAGCGGUGAAAUGCAUAGAGAUUACACAGAAUACCGAUUGCGAAGGCAGCCUACCUACGUAUGUACUGACGCUGAGGGACGAAAGCGUGGGGAGCGAACAGGAUUAGACACCCUGGUAGUCCACGCCGUAAACGAUGGAUACUAGUUGUUGGGCAUUAGCUCAGUGACUAAGCGAAAGUGAUAAGU
RNAcentral lists this ribosomal RNA (800 nucleotides) under uncultured Polaribacter sp. Its description in RNAcentral is "bacterial SSU rRNA". It matches the Rfam family "Bacterial small subunit ribosomal RNA", at positions 63 to 865 of the family's 1533-position model. The record is from RNAcentral. Lineage: Bacteria; Pseudomonadati; Bacteroidota; Flavobacteriia; Flavobacteriales; Flavobacteriaceae.